RNAcentral lists this ribosomal RNA (1672 nucleotides) under Salmonella enterica subsp. enterica serovar Mbandaka. RNAcentral's name for it is "partial 23S ribosomal RNA". It matches the Rfam family "Bacterial large subunit ribosomal RNA", at positions 580 to 2151 of the family's 2925-position model. The record is from RNAcentral. Lineage: Bacteria; Pseudomonadati; Pseudomonadota; Gammaproteobacteria; Enterobacterales; Enterobacteriaceae.
CAGGUUUACCUGUGUGACUGCGUACCUUUUGUAUAAUGGGUCAGCGACUUAUAUUCUGUAGCAAGGUUAACCGUAUAGGGGAGCCGUAGGGAAACCGAGUCUUAACCGGGCGUUAAGUUGCAGGGUAUAGACCCGAAACCCGGUGAUCUAGCCAUGGGCAGGUUGAAGGUUGGGUAACACUAACUGGAGGACCGAACCGACUAAUGUUGAAAAAUUAGCGGAUGACCUGUGGCUGGGGGUGAAAGGCCAAUCAAACCGGGAGAUAGCUGGUUCUCCCCGAAAGCUAUUUAGGUAGCGCCUCGUGAAUUCAUCUCCGGGGGUAGAGCACUGUUUCGGCUAGGGGGCCAUCCCGGCUUACCAACCCGAUGCAAACUGCGAAUACCGGAGAAUGUUAUCACGGGAGACACACGGCGGGUGCUAACGUCCGUCGUGAAGAGGGAAACAACCCAGACCGCCAGCUAAGGUCCCAAAGUCAUGGUUAAGUGGGAAACGAUGUGGGAAGGCCCAGACAGCCAGGAUGUUGGCUUAGAAGCAGCCAUCAUUUAAAGAAAGCGUAAUAGCUCACUGGUCGAGUCGGCCUGCGCGGAAGAUGUAACGGGGCUAAACCAUGCACCGAAGCUGCGGCAGCGAACGUAUCACCCAAGACAACUUUACGGAGUUGACGAUUGACGGAGCGAAGCGACGUCAAAGCGUUCAUUAAAGUCGAGUUGGCUUAGGGAUACGUUCGUUGGGUAGGGGAGCGUUCUGUAAGCCUGUGAAGGUGGCCUGUGAGGGUUGCUGGAGGUAUCAGAAGUGCGAAUGCUGACAUAAGUAACGAUAAAGCGGGUGAAAAGCCCGCUCGCCGGAAGACCAAGGGUUCCUGUCCAACGUUAAUCGGGGCAGGGUGAGUCGACCCCUAAGGCGAGGCCGAAAGGCGUAGUCGAUGGGAAACGGGUUAAUAUUCCCGUACUUGGUGUUACUGCGAAGGGGGGACGGAGAAGGCUAUGUUGGCCGGGCGACGGUUGUCCCGGUUUAAGCGUGUAGGUGUGUGUUCCAGGUAAAUCCGGUUCACUUUAACACUGAGGCGUGACGACGAGGCACUACGGUGCUGAAGCAACAAAUGCCCUGCUUCCAGGAAAAGCCUCUAAGCAUCAGGUAACAUCAAAUCGUACCCCAAACCGACACAGGUGGUCAGGUAGAGAAUACCAAGGCGCUUGAGAGAACUCGGGUGAAGGAACUAGGCAAAAUGGUGCCGUAACUUCGGGAGAAGGCACGCUGACACGUAGGUGAAGUGAUUUACUCAUGGAGCUGAAGUCAGUCGAAGAUACCAGCUGGCUGCAACUGUUUAUUAAAAACACAGCACUGUGCAAACACGAAAGUGGACGUAUACGGUGUGACGCCUGCCCGGUGCCGGAAGGUUAAUUGAUGGGGUCAGCGCAAGCGAAGCUCCUGAUCGAAGCCCCGGUAAACGGCGGCCGUAACUAUAACGGUCCUAAGGUAGCGAAAUUCCUUGUCGGGUAAGUUCCGACCUGCACGAAUGGCGUAAUGAUGGCCAGGCUGUCUCCACCCGAGACUCAGUGAAAUUGAACUCGCUGUGAAGAUGCAGUGUACCCGCGGCAAGACGGAAAGACCCCGUGAACCUUUACUAUAGCUUGACACUGAACAUUGAGCCUUGAUGUGUAGGAUAGGUGGG